UUCGACGGAGCAGGGUGUUUUCCGCUCAUUCGGAUGCUGAUUUUUACGGUUUCCACAAGCAAAUAAAAAACGCGCAACAAGUUUCUCACCGAUCAUUCCCAGAACGAGAACUGUUUGCACUCGUUAGACACUAUCAAGUAGUUUUGAGUAGUUUUGCGUACUUUCCGGUUCAAUCAUACGGAACGGAACCGUAACAGCAGUGGACAUUUGAAAUUUCCCACCGAGGAACAAAAGAGUGAACUUGGAAUGAUUAAUUAAGCCUCGGUGCUUCCGAGGGACCAACAAGUAGUCAAACCAAACCCAUACAUUAAAAGUGAGGGAUCCCUCUUGAAGUUGUGACGAGCAGGAGUGUCCAGCCAAGCUUUAAGAGCUGGCGAAUUUUCCACAACCGCAGUGUGCAGGUGUUCCAUCAUCAACCAUUUCCCUCCCUUUUUUUGUUGUAGGCGCGCAUUUUCCCAACUCUUGCUGUUAGUGUGUGGGAGCAAAAGGUGUUCGCCGUUUGGGAAAAACUGUUUGUUCUUUGGCUCUGGCUGUUUGCACAGGAUUAAUUUCGCUUUCGACGGUACAUUUUUGUCGGACUCUCAACAUCAACAAAACGUGCGCGCGCGAAACAAAUUUGUGUAAAUCAACUCAAUUUAAAUAGAGAGCGAAGGAAGUGUUUUCCACCAAUGGUGGGGUGGGUGUUCGGAAAAUGACAUAGAAAAUCGCAUCAACAGCCUGCCACGGAAUGCGUGGCCUGGCGCCAAACAGGGGAGUGUCAUAUCGUAGUAACACAAAGUGAAUAGUGGGUGCUGCGAGGGUAUGGGAGGACAUCUGCUAUCAAAUCAAUUGGAUUUUUAUGAUUGCACAUGCAGCGUGCCUCCGCUUCGGCACACAGUGUGAUUGGUGGUAAACAGAGAUGUGAGAAGCUCAAUGUGCAUCAUCUGGUCGACCAGUGCAAAGUACAAACGCAAUCAUGUGUUAAUUUGAAAUUAUACUGCUAACGAGUGAAUAAUUGGUUUAUCGCUGAACUCACUUACAGCACUGACGAAGACACAAGGCAACGAUGAUAUUUUUACUAAUUAACAAUCAUAAAUUAUAGAAAGCCAAUGUAAUCACCAUUAUCGGAAAAGAUUGUGCGUGGAUAGCUGCAGGGACCAACGCAAACACAGAGUUCAUAAAUUGGAGCCAAUCCUUUACGUGUCCGUAGCGCUGUCUUCCCCGAGCAACUCAACAUGUUUUCCCCUCUGAGGACGACGUGCAACGAUACAGCGAAUCGGGUCCCCGGACAGCAGCGGAAAACGAGUUGCGACGACAUCGGCGGAACCACCAGACAGCGUGUGUUCCCAACUUCGUCAUGUUCCACCGCCAAAACCGUCUGGGAAUCAAUUCAAUGCUAACUAAUUAGCAGCAAUUCACUCUGUAUAUUAAGGGUUCGGUAGCAAUAAAAGGCGAAACAAAACCAUACAAACUUAGCCAACGCACUCCGAAGCACCACCAUGGAGGGGGAAGUAAGCAUACUUUUGGUGAUAACAGUCAUAAUUGGCACGGUACUAAUGACGUCCCUGCUGGCGUGCUACAUCUGUGUGUUUCGGCAGCUGUGUUGCUCUGCCGAUAGUGACCUGGACCGAAGCUACAGCCAGCGGAGUUCCAAACGCACGUACACUCUGCGGGACAGCACCAAUAUGGUCGAGAUUACCAACAUCACGAAAUCGGAACUGACGGAAAUCGAAAAAGUCUAGCAGAGGACGGGCGAAGCUAGUACUUCGCUCUGACAGCUUCUGAUGAUAAUACUGGGAAAAAACCAAAACCAUGGUAAAUGUUAAUGGUAUUGGCCUGAUGAACUUAAUGUGUGAGGAUUUAAUUUAAGCGCAUAAUGUGAAUAGAUGAGAGUAAGGAAACGUGAAACGAUGAAAAUCAAAGCUAAAUUUAUGAAAUUAAAAAAGAAGAAAACAACGCAAAACUUUUGUACCAACCUUGCAUUUUUUUUAUAUAGGAUCUAUUUAUUCGUGGAAUUAACACAUACAAUGAUAGCAAGCGCUUAUCUUAACCUUUGAGGAUGCGGUCAUUCUUUACUUUAUGUUAAAUCAAGUGUGUGCACAAAAAACUAAUUUCUUGCCACGAAAAGGAUAAAACCUGUAUAAUUGAUUUUCAAGGUGUAAUUCUAUAUUUUAAAUACACCAACUAUGCAUUGUA
Long non-coding RNA from Culex pipiens pallens (northern house mosquito), 2175 nucleotides. RefSeq lists it as uncharacterized. NCBI's taxonomy places the organism in Eukaryota, Metazoa, Arthropoda, Insecta, Diptera, Culicidae. The record is from RefSeq and is a predicted model, not a curated record. The transcript is spliced from 3 exons.